RNAcentral lists this ribosomal RNA (497 nucleotides) under uncultured bacterium. RNAcentral describes it as "partial 16S ribosomal RNA". It matches the Rfam family "Bacterial small subunit ribosomal RNA", at positions 28 to 507 of the family's 1533-position model. The record is from RNAcentral.
GAUGAACGCUGGCGGCGUGCCUAAUACAUGCAAGUCGAGCGAACAGACGAGGAGCUUGCUCCUCGGACGUUAGCGGCGGACGGGUGAGUAACACGUGGAUAACCUACCUAUAAGACUGGGAUAACUUCGGGAAACCGGAGCUAAUACCGGAUAAUAUAUUGAACCGCAUGGUUCAAUAGUGAGAGACGGUGUUGCUGUCACUUAUAGAUGGAUCCGCGCCGCAUUAGGUAGUUGGUAAGGUAACGGCUUACCAAGGCAACGAUGCGUAGCCGACCUGAGAGGCUGAUCGGCGACACUGGAACUGAGACACGGUCAAGACUACUACGAGAGGCAGCAGUAGGGAAUCGUACGCAAUGGGCGAAAGCCUGACGCAGCAACGCCGCGUGAGUGAUGACGGUCUUCGGAUCGUAAAACUCUGUUAUUAGGGAAGAACAAAUGUGUAAGUAAAUAUGCACGUCUUGACGGUACCUAAUCAGAAAGCAACGGCUAACUACGUG